CAUGCAAGUCGAACGAAGUAGCAAUACUUAGUGGCAGACGGGUGAGUAACAUGUAGGUAUCUGCCCUUUGGCCUGGAAUAACACGAGGAAACUUGUGCUAAAACCGGAUAAGUCUUUACGGAGAAAGCUUUAUGCACCAUUGGAUGAGCCUGCACUUGAUUAGUUAGUUGGUGGGGUAAUAGCCUACCAAGACUGUGAUCAAUAGCUGAUUUGAGAGGAUGAUCAGCCACAUUGGGACUGAGACACGGCCCAAACUCCUACGGGAGGCAGCAGUGGGGAAUCUUGCACAAUGGAGGAAACUCUGAUGCAGCGAUGCCGCGUGAGUGAAGAAGGCCCUUGGGUUGUAAAGCUCUUUCGUCGGGGAAGAAAAUGACUGUACCCGAAUAAGAAGGUCCGGCUAACUUCGUGCCAGCAGCCGCGGUAAUACGAAGGGACCUAGCGUAGUUCGGAAUUACUGGGCUUAAAGAGUUCGUAGGUGGCUGAAAAAGUUAGUGGUGAAAUCCCAGAGCUUAACUCUGGAACUGCCAUUAAAACAUUUCAGCUAGAGUAUGAUAGAGGAAAGCAGAAUUUCUAGUGUAGAGGUGAAAUUCGUAGAUAUUAGAAAGAAUACCAAUUGCGAAGGCAGCUUUCUGGAUCAUUACUGACA
Molecule: ribosomal RNA, 646 nt
Filed under: uncultured bacterium
Lineage: Bacteria
Description: bacterial SSU rRNA
Rfam family: Bacterial small subunit ribosomal RNA
Source: RNAcentral